GCUAGAUACAGAGGGUCUAGACUGAAGCUGAGUCUUGAUGGCAUCAAGCUGAGAUAAGAUCCCCCUCACAAAAAUUUGAAGCCCAUCUAGAUCAGUAGAAAGGAAGUCUUUGGAGUCUUUGAUGUCUGUCCGAAGCAGCUCAAGAGAGGAACGAAGCUGACUGUGGAGUCUCUCUAUCUCUCGAGCCAGGUCAUCCAGCUGCGGUGUAGAAGAAGUCGAUGU
Molecule: long non-coding RNA, 222 nt
Filed under: Elaeis guineensis (African oil palm)
Lineage: Eukaryota; Viridiplantae; Streptophyta; Magnoliopsida; Arecales; Arecaceae
Description: long non-coding RNA (EGUI_LNC041244)
Source: RNAcentral